UGCGUUGACCCUCUUUACAGAUUUUCUUGCAGUUUUUGUCCGUAUUCUCAACAUCAUGUUGAAAAAUGCAUCGGAGAAAUCUGAAGACAAAAGAAGGAAGAAGAAAUCUUAAUUGGACACUUGUUACAGGCUAAAUGUAAUUAUGAACUUCGAGGGUGUGACCGCG
This is a long non-coding RNA of Zingiber officinale, 166 nucleotides long. RefSeq lists it as uncharacterized. Lineage: Eukaryota; Viridiplantae; Streptophyta; Magnoliopsida; Zingiberales; Zingiberaceae. The transcript is spliced from 3 exons. The record is from RefSeq and is a predicted model, not a curated record.